AUUUAAAUAAUUUAAUUAAAAAAUUUUGAUUUGUGGGGUCAAAUAUACUGUAAAGUUUUAAAUU
This 64-nucleotide transfer RNA is filed under the name Encyrtus sasakii. RNAcentral describes it as "tRNA-His". The record is from RNAcentral. Lineage: Eukaryota; Metazoa; Arthropoda; Insecta; Hymenoptera; Encyrtidae.